GUCCACGCGGUAAACGAUGAGUGCUAGGUGUAGGAGGUAUCGACCCCUUCUGUGCCGCAGUAAACACAAUAAGCACUCCGCCUGGGGAGUACGGCCGCAAGGUUGAAAACUCAAAGGAAUUGACGGGGGCCCGCACAAGCAGCGGAGCAUGUGGUUUAAUUCGAAGCAAACGCGAAAGAACCUUACCAGGUCUUGACAUCCAGUAAAACUUGUAGAGAUACAUCGUGACUUCGGUCAUACUGAGACAGGUGGUGCAUGGUUGUCGU
RNAcentral lists this ribosomal RNA (266 nucleotides) under uncultured bacterium. RNAcentral's name for it is "partial 16S ribosomal RNA". It matches the Rfam family "Bacterial small subunit ribosomal RNA", at positions 793 to 1055 of the family's 1533-position model. The record is from RNAcentral.